Mustela erminea (ermine) is the source of this 1138-nucleotide long non-coding RNA. RefSeq lists it as uncharacterized. The record is from RefSeq and is a predicted model, not a curated record. Lineage: Eukaryota; Metazoa; Chordata; Mammalia; Carnivora; Mustelidae. The transcript is spliced from 4 exons.
AAACAAACCACCUCAGUUGUCCCAGAUGGCUCAGCUCAGGACUUAAGAUGAAUUCCUUCAGCCAUGCAAAUCACAGUAUAUUACCCAGCUGAAAAAAUCAGGCACGUCAUUUCAUUUAAUUAUUUCCGAGGAGUGGAGGCUGGCAUGCAGUUUUGAUUGAUACUUGGAAAAGGACCAACAAAACCCUACACGAAAUAAACAAACAAAAUUCUAGUGUAUGGCAAUGCGCUAAGAGAAGCAAGGUGGAAACUGGUUAGGUCACAGGAUUGGAGCUGCCUCCUGGAGGGACACGUGAUCGUGUGGUGGAGGUGUGGUAAUGGAGGGCUGGUGGUUCUUUUCCCUCUGAGAACAGGUCUGCACCAUUGCUUCUGCCUCACCUCAUCUUUUUCAGCAAUAAUAAAGGAUGUAGAAUGGUCCCUGGUAUACUUUCAUCAUUUACUGAAUGCCUACUGUUGCAGUUACGAGUUCCGCUUUCCCUGAUCCAUCGGUGACUUGCAAACAGCCUCUGCUCAGGAGAAGCUUCAAGAAAUCAAUUGACAAAGUUCAUUGAUUUCCAGUUUGUGAAAUAAACAGGAGGGCCUCCGAACUACUCGCCUCAUGGGAAUGGCUGUGAAGGUUCAUAAACUAUAACUUUAACAUCUGAGAAUUUGCCAAACUUGACAGAAUGCCUUUUCCAGAAUUUGCCUCCCUGCCUCCAUUGGUUUGCCUCCCACUUCUCAGGUGUAUCUUUGUCAGCCUGCUUCCCGUCUUCUACGCAACUUGAAACGCGGCGCGUCCCAGGACUUCGGAUGUGGGACUUUCUUCCUGAUCCACAAUCUUUCCUUAGGCCCCCUGCUUUAAAUUCCACCCAAAUAUUGAUGACAAGCCCAUUGUAUAUCCAGACUCCUAAACCCAGCUGUCUCCUUGAUCUUGCCACUUGUUUGGGACACGGACUCACAUGGGAGAGGGACAGGUGUGGGGCGGGGUGGGGCGGUGGGAUGGUCACCGCCCUCUGAGCAGUGAGCCAUGAAUAAUAUAUAGCCAUUUGCACAGUGAGAGCUGAGAGCACCAUUUGGAACAGAAGGACCGGCAAACUGGCAAACGUACAUGUCUUUCUUUCAUCCCGCUUAGUAACUAGUCGCUUGUUUAUUGUCUGUGU